AGCUGACGAGUCCCAAAUAGGACGAAAUGCGCAUCCU
Non-coding RNA from Trichobilharzia regenti, 37 nucleotides. Lineage: Eukaryota; Metazoa; Platyhelminthes; Trematoda; Strigeidida; Schistosomatidae. The record is from Rfam.